Chelonoidis abingdonii (Abingdon island giant tortoise) is the source of this 199-nucleotide non-coding RNA. The record is from RefSeq and is a predicted model, not a curated record. Lineage: Eukaryota; Metazoa; Chordata; Testudines; Testudinidae.
GCUUUUGACCAUGCGGACGUGGUUGAGGACUUGUGUCUCUGAGGAUCCCCGGAUCAGCCAGUCGUCGAGGUAUGGAAAUACGUGUAUGCGACUGCGGCGAAAGUAGGCGACGACCACAGCCAUACACUUGGUGAACACUCUCGGGGCCGCGGAGAGGCCAAACGGGAGGACCGCAAAUUGAAAGUGACGAGCACCCACA